AACGAACGCUGGCGGCAGGCUUAACACAUGCAAGUCGAACGAGAUCUUCGGAUCUAGUGGCAGACGGGUGAGGAACACGUGGGAACAUCCCUUUCAGUUCGGAAUAACGUUGGGAAACUAACGCUAAUACCGGAUACGUCCUUCGGGAGAAAGAUUUAUCGCUGAAAGAUUGGCCCGCGUCUGAUUAGCUAGUUGGUGAGGUAACGGCUCACCAAGGCUACGAUCAGUAGCUGAUCUGAGAGGAUGAUCAGCCACAUUGGGACUGAGACACGGCCCAAACUCCUACGGGAGGCAGCAGUGGGGAAUAUUGGACAAUGGGCGCAAGCUUGAUCCAGCCAUGCCGCGUGAGUGAUGACGGCCUUCGGGUUGUAAAGCUCUUUUGUCCGGGAAGAUAAUGACUGCACCGGAAGAAUAAGCCCCGGCAAACUUCGUGCCAGCAGCCGUCGUAA
RNAcentral lists this ribosomal RNA (449 nucleotides) under uncultured bacterium. Its description in RNAcentral is "partial 16S ribosomal RNA". It matches the Rfam family "Bacterial small subunit ribosomal RNA", at positions 29 to 523 of the family's 1533-position model. The record is from RNAcentral.